RNAcentral lists this ribosomal RNA (485 nucleotides) under uncultured Pelotomaculum sp. RNAcentral describes it as "bacterial SSU rRNA". It matches the Rfam family "Bacterial small subunit ribosomal RNA", at positions 897 to 1382 of the family's 1533-position model. The record is from RNAcentral. Lineage: Bacteria; Bacillati; Bacillota; Clostridia; Eubacteriales; Desulfotomaculaceae.
AAACUUAAAGGAAUUGACGGGGCCGCACAAGCGGUGGAGCAUGUGGUUAAUUCGACGCAACGCGAAGAACCUUACCAGGGCUUGACAUCCCCUGACCGCGUAUGAAAGUACGUUUUCACCCUCGGGUGACAGGGAGACAGGUGGUGCAUGGUUGUCGUCAGCUCGUGUCGUGAGAUGUUGGGUUAAGUCCCGCAACGAGCGCAACCCCUACGUUUAGUUGCUAACGCGUGAAGGCGAGCACUCUAGACGAACUGCCGUUGACAAAACGGAGGAAGGUGGGGAUGACGUCAAAUCAUCAUGCCCCUUAUGUUCUGGGCUACACACGUGCUACAAUGGCCGGUACAGACGGACGCAAAGCCGCGAGGUGGAGCAAAUCCUAAAAAGCCGGUCUCAGUUCGGAUUGCAGGCUGCAAUUCGCCUGCAUGAAGUCGGAAUCGCUAGUAAUCGCAGGUCAGCAUACUGCGGUGAAUACGUUCCCGGGCCUU